UACGGGAGGCAGCAGUGAGGAAUAUUGGUCAAUGGACGAGAGUCUGAACCAGCCAAGUAGCGUGCAGGAAGACGGCCCUAUGGGUUGUAAACUGCUUUUAUAAGGGAAUAAAGUGAGAGUCGUGACUCUUUUUGCAUGUACCUUAUGAAUAAGGACCGGCUAAUUCCGUGCCAGCAGCCGCGGUAAUACGGAAGGUCCGGGCGUUAUCCGGAUUUAUUGGGUUUAAAGGGAGCGUAGGCCGGAGAUUAAGCGUGUUGUGAAAUGUAGAUGCUCAACAUCUGAACUGCAGCGCGAACUGGUUUCCUUGAGUACGCACAAAGUGGGCGGAAUUCGUGGUGUAGCGGUGAAAUGCUUAGAUAUCACGAAGAACUCCGAUUGCGAAGGCAGCUCACUGGAGCGCAACUGACGCUGAAGCUCGAAAGUGCGGGUAUCGAACAGGAUUAGAUACCCUGGUAGUCCGCACGGUAAACGAUGGAUGCCCGCUGUUGGUCUGAAUAGGUCAGCGGCCAAGCGAAAGCAUUAAGCAUCCCACCUGGGGAGUACGCCGGCAACGGUGAAACUCAAAGGAAUUGACGGGGGCCCGCACAAGCGGA
Molecule: ribosomal RNA, 593 nt
Filed under: uncultured bacterium
Lineage: Bacteria
Description: bacterial SSU rRNA
Rfam family: Bacterial small subunit ribosomal RNA
Source: RNAcentral